RNAcentral lists this ribosomal RNA (495 nucleotides) under uncultured Nesterenkonia sp. RNAcentral's name for it is "bacterial SSU rRNA". It matches the Rfam family "Bacterial small subunit ribosomal RNA", at positions 408 to 912 of the family's 1533-position model. The record is from RNAcentral. Lineage: Bacteria; Bacillati; Actinomycetota; Actinomycetes; Micrococcales; Micrococcaceae.
AUGACGGCCUUCGGGUUGUAAACCGCUUUCAGCAGGGAAGAAGCUUUUUGUGACGGUACCUGCAGAAGAAGCGCCGGCUAACUACGUGCCAGCAGCCGCGGUAAUACGUAGGGCGCGAGCGUUAUCCGGAAUUAUUGGGCGUAAAGGGCUCGCAGGCGGUUUGCCACGUCUGCUGUGAAAGCCCGGGGCUUAACUCCGGGUGUGCAGUGGGUACGGGUAGACUAGAGUGCAGUAGGGGAGACUGGAAUUCCUGGUGUAGCGGUGAAAUGCGCAGAUAUCAGGAAGAACACCGAUGGCGAAGGCAGGUCUCUGGGCUGUUACUGACGCUGAGGAGCGAAAGCAUGGGGAGCGAACAGGAUUAGAUACCCUGGUAGUCCAUGCCGUAAACGUUGGGCACUAGGUGUGGGGGACAUUCCACGUUUUCCGCGCCGUAGCUAACGCAUUAAGUGCCCCGCCUGGGGAGUACGGCCGCAAGGCUAAAACUCAAAGUAUUUU